CCAGAGGAUUAAAGAAUUCUUUUUUUCUUCUUGAUACAAAAAGGUAUUUUUUUUAAAUUCACAGAGGAGAAACAUAAUUUAAUUUUUGAAUAUUUUCUUUAACAUUUUCAAAUACAUGUGAAAGAGAGAGGGCUUGGUCAAGUUCCCGGUUAAUUUAUUUUCUUGGGUCUAAUUUCCUCGACCUGCUCAAUAAGGAUGUCACACUUGGAUGACUUCUGAUCACCCCUGGUGGGGGUCUUCAGCUCUGAAAUCUUAAAAUACCUUACUUCUAUUUUACAAAGCAGAAGAGAGGCUUAUAUUUGACAAACUGUGAGACUCACUAAGUUUCUGAAAAUUUUUUACCACAUAAUCCCUUAAUUUAGACUCUGAAUUCUUCCAACUACUGGUUUAAAAAUAAUAAUAA
RNAcentral lists this long non-coding RNA (403 nucleotides) under Homo sapiens (human). Its description in RNAcentral is "non-protein coding lnc-EXOC2-188:2". The record is from RNAcentral. Lineage: Eukaryota; Metazoa; Chordata; Mammalia; Primates; Hominidae.